This 379-nucleotide ribosomal RNA is filed under the name uncultured eukaryote. RNAcentral describes it as "partial 18S ribosomal RNA". It matches the Rfam family "Eukaryotic small subunit ribosomal RNA", at positions 592 to 975 of the family's 1831-position model. The record is from RNAcentral.
CAAUAGCGUAUAUUAAAGUUGUUGCGGUUAAAAAGCUCGUAGUUGGAUUUCUGUGGUAGGCAGCCGGUCCACACUAUGUGUGAGUAUCUGGUUCGGCUACUGCAUCCUCCUGAGGAACGUUGGUGCGCUUCACUGCGUGGCACGGUAUUCAGGACUUUUACUUUGAGGAAAUUAGAGUGUUCACGGCAGGCGUUUGCCCUGAAUAUAUUAGCAUGGAAUAAUGAUAUAGGAUCCACGUCCUAUUUUGUUGGUUUCUAGGACGAGGAUAAUGAUUAAUAGGGAUAAUUGGGGGCAUUCGUAUUAACACGUCAGAGGUGGAAUUCUUGGAUUGUGUUACGACGAACUACUGCGAAAGCAUUUGCCAAGGAUGUUUUCAUUG